This 274-nucleotide ribosomal RNA is filed under the name uncultured bacterium. RNAcentral's name for it is "partial 16S ribosomal RNA". It matches the Rfam family "Bacterial small subunit ribosomal RNA", at positions 523 to 796 of the family's 1533-position model. The record is from RNAcentral.
AUACAGAGGGUGCAAGCGUUAAUCGGAAUUACUGGGCGUAAAGCGCACGUAGGCGGUUUGUUAAGUUGGAUGUGAAAGCCCCGGGCUUAACCUGGGAGGGUCAUUCAAAACUGGCAGACUAGAGUGUGGUAGAGGGUAGUGGAAUUCCUAGUGUAGCGGUGAAAUGCGUAGAGAUUAGGAGGAACACCAGUGGCGAAGGCGACUGCCUGGACCAACACUGACGCUGAGGUGCGAAAGCGUGGGUAGCGAACAGGAUUAGAAACCCUGGUAGUCC